UGGCGCCCAGCGUGGGGGCUCCUGGCAUGAAGGAGUCAACGAGGGAGCCAUUGGAGAAAGCCAGCUGAAAGUGAAAGCAAAUUGAACCAAAGACUGCGGCGAGAAGUAAAAACAAACUAAAUCAAGGACUAAGGCCAAAAGCAAAUGCACACCUGACGUGACACCCGAGUCACGGUUAGUUAACUGAGACCCCAUUCCCUUUCCUGGACAUGGGUCAAGCAUUGAGUGAACACAAAUUGUUCGUGGGAGGCCUUAUAAAGGCAUUAAAGACAGGAGGGGUAAGGGUUAGAACAAAAGAAUUAUUGCAGUAUUUUCAAUUUAUUCAUAAGGUUUGCCCUU
Regulatory RNA element from Cavia porcellus (domestic guinea pig), 339 nucleotides. It matches the Rfam family "Mason-Pfizer monkey virus packaging signal". Rfam says of the family: The packaging signal is located in the 5' UTR and is required for specific RNA encapsidation. NCBI's taxonomy places the organism in Eukaryota, Metazoa, Chordata, Mammalia, Rodentia, Caviidae. The record is from Rfam.